CUACGGGCCGCAGCAGUCGAGAAUUUUCGGCAAUGGACGCAAGUCUGACCGAGCAACGCCGCGUGUGCGAUGAAGGCCUUCGGGUUGUAAAGCACUGUCGAGGGGGAGAAAAACUGAUCGACCCCUGGAGGAAGGACGGGCUAAGUUCGUGCCAGCAGCCGCGGUAAGACGAACCGUCCAAACGUUAUUCGGAAUCACUGGGCUUAAAGGGCGCGUAGGCGGGUGGUCAAGUCAGGGGUGAAAUCCUCCAGCUUAACUGGAGAAGUGCCUCUGAUACUGGCUGUCUUGAGUGAGGUAGGGGCAUAUGGAACUUCCGGUGGAGCGGUGAAAUGCGUAGAUAUCGGAAGGAACGCCAGUGGCGAAAGCGAUAUGCUGGACCUUUUUCUGACGCUGAGGCGCGAAAGCUAGGGGAUCAAACGGGAUUAGAUACCCCGGUAGUC
This 440-nucleotide ribosomal RNA is filed under the name uncultured bacterium. RNAcentral describes it as "partial 16S ribosomal RNA". It matches the Rfam family "Bacterial small subunit ribosomal RNA", at positions 339 to 795 of the family's 1533-position model. The record is from RNAcentral.